This 1259-nucleotide long non-coding RNA is filed under the name Microcebus murinus (gray mouse lemur). RNAcentral's name for it is "lncRNA (ENSMICG00000048649.1)". The record is from RNAcentral. Lineage: Eukaryota; Metazoa; Chordata; Mammalia; Primates; Cheirogaleidae.
GUAAGAAAUGCAAAGAAAUAUAAGAUGGGAUUCUUUCCAGAAGGUACUUCUAAGAUGUAACAGCAAUGCCUUAUAUGGAAUGUGUACAAUGGUUUCUGGAUAAUAUAUUUUAAAGAAAGAAGGCUUUUCUUUUUCAAAAGUGUAGUUUGUUAUAAAAGUCUUUGUAAGUUGAAAAAAGUAUUUUUUUUAAGAAGCAGCACUCUGUACUUAAAGAAAAUUCAGCAGCCAAAAUGCUUUGCUACUUCAUGUGUAGGUGUAAUGAAAACAGUUAGCUGUCUGGUUACACUAUCUUUGACUUCUCACUUUUAGUAUUCAGAGGUUGACCUGAACUUAGCUGUGUUAAGUUGCUGGCUCCACAGGAAACCACCUCCCUAACUGCUGCUUGCUGCUUUCUCUUUAGCCAACACCCAAAGCCACUGUCGGAUGUCAUGGGGAUGAGACUUCACAAGUAUUCCUUCAUAUGUAGAAAAUUAAACCAUGAUGCAAAAUAAUACAGUUCCUGAUGAAACCCGAGAUAAGGAUGAAAUUAAAAGUUUGGAGAACUUAAAAUGAAAAUACUGAAAUAAGCCAGUUAUAAGGCAGUCGGCCCAGUCUCUCCAGCUUCUCCAGCUUUGAAUGGAUGAAAAAAGAAUGCAGAGCCAUUUUGGAAGGUUUUGCAGCUUUGUGAACAGUUGGAAGCAGGAAUCUUGGUGCACCAAGUCUUUGAAGUAUAAGAGAGGAGCAGCCUUCUCCAGGUGUUAAAUUCUGCGAUGGACUCGCCUCUCCCCAACUGAUAUUAGAGGCCUUAAUUAAGAGGAUCCUUGAAACAUGGCCACGUGACAGUGGGAGGACAUUUCUCUACCCCCUCCGAGGUGAGAACUUUUCAUGUUAUUUGAUUGAAUGGGAUGAUCUUUCCCUUUAGUGUUGAUGUGAUCAUAUUUCAUAACACCAACUGGCAACAAAAGAUAGCAAUAAAGAAAAACAGAAAGCUAAACCUUGGGUUAUAAAUGUUUCUGUGGCAGUGAUCCUUUGUGAAUUUUAAAAUAGAAUUUAAGACCCCUUUUUGUCAUUAUCCAUACUUUCAGUCUUGGUGGGUAGGUCUUCCCCUAGAGUCAAGUGUUUUAUCUGACAAAGCAUUUUGAUUAUGCGCUUGUGAGCCAAGUCUAUCCUAAAACAGCGUGGUAGGAGUUGCCUAAAUUACCCCUUGCUAGAGGCAUUCUUAUAAAUGGUUUUUCUUAUAUAAUCUUAGAAUAUAUCUUUUCAUAAUACAUAUAUUAAAG